UAAAAAAUCAUAAUAAAUAUAAACAAGUAUAUAGAAUUUGUGGGAUGAAAGUUGUGCCCGUGCAUUUAUUCUCGUUUAAUUAUCUUUCCAUCCAAAAAUGAGAUUAUUUCAGGCAUCAAAUAUAAUGUCGAUUAAUGAGAACGAGAACGGCAUGCAUUAGAGUGCAAAUCAUAUAUGUAUAUACAUAGUCAUGAAUUCAUUUCACCAUCUUGAAACGUGCAGCCUCGAUGUGGGUUUCCAUAGGUUUUCACCUUUCUCUUUUAAGUCAUGUUCCUGGCUCUGCACAAAAGAAUAAGAACAAAUUAACACAGCAACUGUACUAUGAAUUAUAGAAUAACGAUGGAAAAAUUAUCUGACUGAAAUAAUCAGUUCCUAGGGUCCAUCAACCUACUAGCAAUGGGGGAGAAAACAUAACAUGUCGCAAUAAAAGCUUAAUUCGAGUAUUAAAAAGGGAAAAUUGUAGCAGCGGUC
RNAcentral lists this long non-coding RNA (471 nucleotides) under Olea europaea (common olive). RNAcentral describes it as "long non-coding RNA (OEUR_LNC014148)". The record is from RNAcentral. Lineage: Eukaryota; Viridiplantae; Streptophyta; Magnoliopsida; Lamiales; Oleaceae.